This 492-nucleotide long non-coding RNA is filed under the name Elaeis guineensis (African oil palm). RNAcentral's name for it is "long non-coding RNA (EGUI_LNC004617)". The record is from RNAcentral. Lineage: Eukaryota; Viridiplantae; Streptophyta; Magnoliopsida; Arecales; Arecaceae.
UUCUAAUAUUUCUUAGUGGGGUUGAGAUUCCUAUUCCUCACAAACACCUUGUGGAUAGCACUACAAGUAUUUAUGAGUUUAAGAGUAGGUAACUCUUUACCAAUUCUCAACAUCAUUCACUCUGACCUCUAGAUCAUAUAUAGUCUUGUGGAUAGCACGACAAACUAUAGUGUUCUAGUUAAGUUGACCCUUCAAUCCAUAUGGUCAUACUUAAACAAUGCUAUCCUUGUGGAUAGCACAACAAAGCAACACUAUUCAAAUAUGCCAUAAACAUUAAUAUGCACUUGAUCAACAUCAUGUCAAUUUCUAUAGUAAGCCUUGUGGAUAGCACAACAAGCUUACUAAGAUCUUGACAUACUCUAUCGAUCAAGUUUGAAGGAAGGCCCUUGUAGUGUUUAUAUCACUAAUCAAUCUAAGUUCGAAAUUCAAGAAGAUUAAAUUGACCAGAUAAGUAGGUGGGAGGCUCUCUGUAGCUUUUCUAGAUACCAACAG